UACAGAGGUCUCAAGCGUUGUUCGGAUUCAUUGGGCGUAAAGGGUGUGUAGGUGGCGCGCUAAGUCGGGUGUGAAAUUUCGGAGCUUAACUCCGAAACUGCAUUCGAUACUGGCGUGCUUGAGGACUGGAGAGGAGACUGGAAUUCAUGGUGUAGCAGUGAAAUGCGUAGAGAUCAUGAGGAAGACCGGUGGCGAAGGCGGGUCUCUGGACAGUUCCUGACACUGAGACACGAAGGCCAGGGGAGCAAACGGG
This 253-nucleotide ribosomal RNA is filed under the name uncultured bacterium. RNAcentral's name for it is "partial 16S ribosomal RNA". It matches the Rfam family "Bacterial small subunit ribosomal RNA", at positions 524 to 776 of the family's 1533-position model. The record is from RNAcentral.